This 88-nucleotide transfer RNA is filed under the name Thermoproteota archaeon. RNAcentral describes it as "tRNA-Leu". It matches the Rfam family "tRNA". From Rfam's summary of the family: Transfer RNA (tRNA) molecules are approximately 80 nucleotides in length. Their secondary structure includes four short double-helical elements and three loops (D, anti-codon, and T loops). The record is from RNAcentral. Lineage: Archaea; Thermoproteati; Thermoproteota.
GGAGGAGUCGCGAAGCCUGGUCAAACGCGCAGGACUCAAGAUCCCGUCCUUUAGGGGUUCGUGGGUUCGAAUCCCACCUCCUCCACCA